AUUGAACGCUGGCGGCAGGCCUAACACAUGCAAGUCGAACGAGCGGCGGACGGGUGAGUAAUGUAUGGGGAUCUGCCCGAUAGAGGGGGAUAACUACUGGAAACGGUAGCUAAUACCGCAUACUAUCGGAUGAACCCAUAUGGGAUUAGCUAGUCGGUGGGGUAAAGGCUCACCUAGGCGACGAUCUCUAGCUGGUCUGAGAGGAUGAUCAGCCACACUGGAACUGAGACACGGCCCAGACUCCGACGGGAGGCAGCAGUGGGGAAUAUUGCACAAUGGGCGAAAGCCUGAUGCAGCAAUGCCGCGUGUAUGAAGAAGGUCUUAGGAUUGUAAAGUACUGUCAGCGGGGAGGCGUUACCUGCACAGGAAGCACCGGCUAACUACGUGCCAGCAGCCGCGGUAAUUC
This 406-nucleotide ribosomal RNA is filed under the name uncultured bacterium. Its description in RNAcentral is "partial 16S ribosomal RNA". It matches the Rfam family "Bacterial small subunit ribosomal RNA", at positions 30 to 526 of the family's 1533-position model. The record is from RNAcentral.